This 530-nucleotide ribosomal RNA is filed under the name uncultured bacterium. RNAcentral describes it as "bacterial SSU rRNA". It matches the Rfam family "Bacterial small subunit ribosomal RNA", at positions 777 to 1304 of the family's 1533-position model. The record is from RNAcentral.
AAUAGAUACCCUGGUAGUCCACGCCGUAAACGAUGAGUGCUAAGUGUUAGAGGGUUUCCGCCCUUUAGUGCUGCAGCUAACGCAUUAAGCACUCCGCCUGGGGAGUACGGCCGCAAGGCUGAAACUCAAAAGAAUUGACGGGGGCCCGCACAAGCGGUGGAGCAUGUGGUUUAAUUCGAAGCAACGCGAAGAACCUUACCAGGUCUUGACAUCCUCUGCCAACCCUAGAGAUAGGGCGUUCCCCUUCGGGGGACAGAGUGACAGGUGGUGCAUGGUUGUCGUCAGCUCGUGUCGUGAGAUGUUGGGUUAAGUCCCGCAACGAGCGCAACCCUUGAUCUUAGUUGCCAGCAUUCAGUUGGGCACUCUAAGGUGACUGCCGGUGACAAACCGGAGGAAGGUGGGGAUGACGUCAAAUCAUCAUGCCCCUUAUGACCUGGGCUACACACGUGCUACAAUGGAUGGUACAAAGAGCAGCGAACCCGCGAGGGUAAGCCAAUCUCAUAAAAGCCAUUCUCAGUUCGGAUUGUAGG